CAGGAGACAGCACAAAAAGCAAAAACCAGGCAAAGUCCCAAUCAAGAUUCUUUCAAGUUAAACAGUGAGAUGUAGCAAAUGUCAAGGCCUGAGGUUUAUUGCUAGAGCCCAUGGGGCUUGGUGAGAGGGCAUUAAGACUACAUAAAAAGACAAUCAGAAAAUAAGAGGUGGAAACUCUCCACCUCUGAUAAGGUAUUUUGUGAGCAAGAUGGAAGAUUACUGGCCUGGAAGGGAAUUGCCUGGAGAUUCCCCAAGACAUCAGAUCUGAGGUACAGCAGCUCAUACAUAUCAAGGAAUAAGAAAGAAAAGACAAGGUUUUGGGGAGUUGACACGCUCUCGCUCAAGUACUGAGGAAAUAUACUGCCAGCUGAGUCAAGUAUAAGGAUUGUCCAGAAAAGAGAAAACUUAAGAGGAAAAAAAAACCAGGUGUAGGGCAGCCAAUAAAUUGUCAAUGAAGAGAGAAAGCAGGCAAAGAGAGCAGCUGGCUAGAGCCCAGCAGAAGAAAUUCAGUGCCUGGGAGACCAGAUUUCUGUGCUACAUUAUUUCAAAAGCCAAGAAGCCACUGGAGUUCAAGGAGAGAAGGAGCUGGACAGCCAAGGAAACCUCCUGA
RNAcentral lists this long non-coding RNA (610 nucleotides) under Cyanistes caeruleus (blue tit). RNAcentral's name for it is "lncRNA (ENSCCEG00000013951.1)". Lineage: Eukaryota; Metazoa; Chordata; Aves; Passeriformes; Paridae. The record is from RNAcentral.